RNAcentral lists this ribosomal RNA (253 nucleotides) under uncultured bacterium. RNAcentral's name for it is "partial 16S ribosomal RNA". It matches the Rfam family "Bacterial small subunit ribosomal RNA", at positions 524 to 776 of the family's 1533-position model. The record is from RNAcentral.
GACGUAGGGCGCGAGCGUUGUCCGGAUUUAUUGGGCGUAAAGAGCUCGUAGGCGGUCUGUCGCGUCGGCUGUGAAAACUCGGGGCUCAACUCCGAGCUUGCAGUCGAUACGGGCAGGCUAUAGUUCGGCAGGGGAGACUGGAAUUCCUGGUGUAGCGGUGAAAUGCGCAGAUAUCAGGAGGAACACCGGUGGCGAAGGCGGGUCUCUGGGCCGAUACUGACGCUGAGGAGCGAAAGCGUGGGGAGCGAACAGG